RNAcentral lists this long non-coding RNA (514 nucleotides) under Capsicum annuum. Its description in RNAcentral is "long non-coding RNA (CANN_LNC018313)". The record is from RNAcentral. Lineage: Eukaryota; Viridiplantae; Streptophyta; Magnoliopsida; Solanales; Solanaceae.
CCAAAGUAACAAAAAAGGGUUGGUCAGAAAUAACCAAUAAGAGAAGAAACGACGACUAAUAUUGACAUCUAAUUGGAAUCAAAGAAAACAUCUUGAAAAUAUUGUCUUCUACGGAGUGGGGGUGGAUGGGUACUCUUUCAAACGUCACCGCAAUGCUAACAGAAGAAAGAAUUGAUAGAUACACAUAAGAGUCCUCUUCAAGGAAACAUGACACCAGCAUGAAGAAGAACUAUAGGUACCCUAGAAAGUAAAAUAGAAAAGGUCACAAAGUGCAUUUUGAUUACCUCUGACGGUGCUAUAUGGCCAGAGAAAUCGAGGACUUCGGUUAAGUUGUUGGAAAUGGAGGACCAGUGCAUAAGUGAGUAGUUCGAUAUAAGAUACACAUCAUUCGAUUAUUUAUUUUUUGACCUCGAAAUUUUAUUGUCCAACAGGAGGACCAGUGCAUAAGUGAGUAGUUCGAUAUAAGAUACACAUCAUGUUUUGAAGUAGCCCAAACCAAGUUCCUCAGCUGCAA